Pelmatolapia mariae (spotted tilapia) is the source of this 2722-nucleotide long non-coding RNA. RefSeq lists it as uncharacterized. The record is from RefSeq and is a predicted model, not a curated record. The transcript has 4 exons. NCBI's taxonomy places the organism in Eukaryota, Metazoa, Chordata, Actinopteri, Cichliformes, Cichlidae.
CGGUACAGCGAGUAAACAAGAUCAACAGUUAAUCUAACAGUAACUACAAGAUGAGGACGGGAUGACUUCAUUCCUUCGGCUUCUUUUUUAUUCUGUUUCAUCUGCAGUGAAACACUCGCCGAUAAAUCACUUCACUGGAUCUGCUGGAAACCAAACGUCACACAGUUUGUGGGUGUUGCUGUGGUUGAGGCAGUUUACUUGGAGUGGUACAAACACUAGAAGUGGCCGUGAAUAUGAGGAAAGCACUGGAGAGAAGUCUGGCUUUUUGAAGUCUGGCUUUAUUGGACUGGAUUUGAAGACACUGUCAUGGGCUUCACUGAAGGCUGACGCUACCAAACAGAGCUGAGAAGCUGACAGUAAUAAAACAAAGCUAAAUGAAGUCUUCCUGACUGACAUCUCUCCAGAGCGGCUGAAAUUGUUUUUGGAUGGUGGGAGCAGCUCCCUGCAGAGAACAGUUCUUCCUUCAGUGUCUCUCCUCCAGAGGACUCCCUCCUCUCCAGCUGCCGCGCUACAGGUUUCUACCCAGACAGAGCCGUGAUGUUCUGGAGGAAAGAUGGAGAGGAGAUCCAUGAAGUUGUGCCCCACAGAGAGAUCCUCCCCAACAAUGAUGGGACCUUCCAGAUGAGUGUUGAUCUGAAUGUUUUAUCAGUUAGACCAGAAGACUGGAGCAGAUACGAGUGUGUGUUUCAGGUCUCUGAUUUCAAGUAGAACAUUCUCACCAAAGUUUUUGUUUGGAAUCCAAGAAUAGCAGCUGUUACUACUGAAUAACUAAUGGAGAUGCUAAUAGACAAGAAGAAACAAAUUCAGUGCUUGUAUAUAUAUAAAGUUAUAACUGUUUGUUUUAUUCCAAUAUGCAAGAUAUCAAUGUUAUUUGUAUUCUUAAAAUGAAUCCAGUUUAAAUUUCAGGUUCACAGUUUAUACCAGGGGUGUCAAACUUUUGACCCGUGGGCCACAUCUGGCCUGCGAUACAAUUAUAUCCACCCCAUGAGAUAAUUUCAUGUGAAUUAUUAAUAAACUCUUUGGUAUGUGGGAGACGAAUCUUCAGCCCUUGAGAAUCCAUGCAGGCAGGAGUGGGAGUUUAUUUUGAUGGGCACACCAUGCGGCCAAUAACAUACAAAGAUAGACUGGGAUCAAACCAUUAUGUGAAAGAAGGAAGGGGGGUAGAUGUUCUUAGAACAUCAAGUGUAGCCAGGUACACAGAGAGAUGAGGGUUUUAAACACAAACGUUUCAGGAAAAAGUGAAAAAAAAAACAUGAAAUAAGCAGCACCUCAAUGACACUCAAUGAUACUGUAAACUGCAAAGCUGAGUGCAGAAUUUAUAAGACUAGGAGCUGGCUAAAGUGAUACCUGAUUUUAUUUUUAGCCAUUUUCCUUUGUAGAGGACAAAAGGUUUCAAACUUGUCCAGGCCUUAAAACUCAUCUGUGUUCUCCCUGGUAAAUGCAUAAAAAUAAUGCUUUUAUGAAAACAGAGAAUAACAAUAGCUUCCUUACAAAAAAAUUAAAUUUUCAGUUCAGUAUUGAAUAUUACACAAAAUAUAUACAGGAUGUGUUUGAAUGGUAGAGGUGCAGAUAUGUGUGCAUGUAGCACAGAGCCAUGGCUCUCACAGGCCUGAAUGUGUGCUUGAAGUCAUUUAUAGUUCUUAACUUGUUUGGUCUGCUGCUCACCACACACAAGCACAAGGAGAAAUUUUGGAUUUUUAACUGUAAUUUCAUAAGUUUUACACAUUUUCCAGAUAAAAACCUCCCUUAUGACCAUUCAUACUACAAAAAGUACUUAGGCAGUUAACAGUUUAAUCAAAAAUAGGUUUCUGUUUUUCUCCUUCUACUAUAGAAAUGUCUAUUUUUUAUGACUACAGUUAUAAAAAAAAAAGUAAUUUGACACAUUUAUUUCUUACAAUUUAACUCCCAAGAUUCAUACUGACAGAUUUCUUUCUUUGUCACGACAGCCUUGUCUUUAUCAUAUAGAAAAACAGUUAGAUAACUUCUUUAUAAGAAGGUGAGUACAACUGGUUCAGCCAACUUAAGAUCAAAGUGGGCUGUAUGUGGCCCGCGAUGUAAAAUGAAUUUGACAUGACUGUUUUAGACCAUCCAUCCCUGUAAAGGACUGAGUGGAACGUCAAUAUAUCAAAAUUCCUCAGAGGGAAGCACAUAAAUAAUUAACUUGAAGUGAAAGUUCACUCUUCUCAUAUGUGAGCAGAGAGCACAGAGCGUGAAACAGAAAGUCCAGCUGAACAGAGAAAGUUGAUAACUGCUGCUGGGUGUGUGGGGUGUUUUUUUUUUCAAGCUAACAAACACAAAUAAAGCCUGGCUGUGUUCUGCUGUAAUAUACCCCACCUGAUCCUCUAAUACAGACUACCAAAAUGAACUCAUCUGGGAUUUAAAAUUGUUUUUUCUUCUUUUUAUUUCAGAAAAACACUUUGCACCACUCUGAUCUGUGCAUUUAAAAAAUGAAAAGAGUAGGUUCUUACUGACUUUGUCUGAAUAUUCCUCAUUGUGAUAUUAUUGAUGGCUUAUGAGCAGGGGCGUUACCAGAAUCUUGAAACAGUGGGACCUUAGCCCAGCCCUGAAAUCUCUUGGAUUUUCGCUCAGUAACAGCACUUUAAGGUUAUUUACUAGAUUUUUCAAUGAAAUUAAUAUUGGAUGUCAAACACUGUGUGCUACCUAAAGCUUGAAGUCAGGUGUGUCUGUCUGUCUUUCCCAGAAUGAUAGUAAAAUAAACAAU